CGGCCAAAUCAGUGGUCAGCGACCUCUAAGGAAAUCGCUCUUGGUCGCUGCUCGGAGGAGCAGCUUUGCGGGCAGAACGCGCGCUCCUCGCCUCCCGGAGCCGGGUGCGCCGUGGAGCACGGAUGCUGCGCCGCGCUGCGAGCUUCCACUCGCCCACUGACAGGCCCGGGACUCUGAGGCUGCGGCGGAGAACCUGGGCAGCACCGACCGAUUAGAAACCAGGAAUUAAGAGGAGAAAAGAAAAAAAAAAGAGGCAGGGUUACUGCAGCCUGGGGUGGGCAGGGCUACCCUCCCAGUACUGCCUGCCAGCUGGCUUUCUUUUCCUCCUUUGCAUCCGUUUCAUCUGUGUCUCCCCCUCCCAUCUUUGUUUCCCUUCUCACAAAUCGCUUCUCAACUCUACCCGGCCAGCACUCCCCCUCCCCAAGACUCUAAAAGCAACUGGAAAACCUAUCGCUUGAGAGAAAGCUCUUCCAGUGGAAAGAAUUCGAACUGAGGUGAUGGGGAGAGCCGGGGAGAGAGGGGGAGACCCCGCCCCGAUAGCCUAGAACAAGCCGUAACAAAGCCAAGUCCACGGGAGCAUCACUCUCAACCCCCCAACCUGGCUGCGGGAGCCAAAGUUCUCGGAAGUCGAGCUAAGAAUCGGGGCCCUGCCCCGGGGGAGGGGCUGGGGGAGGGGAGGUUUCUUCGGCCGGUUCGAGGUGCGCUCGCUCCACCCAGGACCCCGGGGCUGCGGCGAGCUGGGGGAGGGGCGCCAAGCCCGGGAGGAGUCCGGCCCAGAUCCCGCAAGUGACCGGCGACCGGACCCAAGCUGGUGGCGGCGCAGUGGGGGCGCAUGGGGAGACGGCAGUAGCCGGACCGAGGAACUGCAGGAGGGCGACCGCGAGGAGGGGUCGGGGGGGACGACAAGUCCCAGCCUCCGCUCCGCUCAGGCGGCCAGCACCUACCUGAUCCCCGGGAACCGGAGUCCGGAGGCGGCAGUUAGAAAAUACGCCUGUAUGUAUCCAGUGCCCAGUAACUCGCCAGAGCUGGCGCCCAGAAAAGCUAACUCGUACCCCGAUGCCAGCAAAAGAAUUAACAACCAGUCACGUAAUGAUCGGGUAUCAGAAAAAGACGUCAGCAUCCUAGUCCCUCAAGGAACAUAUUAACUAUCCUCUGCUGUCCUCCUGGAUAAGAUCCGGAGUCAUCGACUUCUCAUAACACCUUUCACUCAUACUGUACAAUUUAAAGGAGUUUAAUUACCUCGAUGGUUUUCAGUUUUAACCACUUCUCAAGGAUGGGUAAAGAAUUCAUAGAAUCUUGAGAAUGGUAAAAAAAAAAAAAAAAUGUUUUUAACUACGUCUCUCUUGUUUUCUUUUUGCUUUUUCAUCAAGCCCCAGCAAUCAGAGCUCUGGGCUCUGGAAUUAAAGCACCAUCAAGCUCUCCUAUUAAUAAAUUUAAUUUAGAUCUCC
This is a long non-coding RNA of Bubalus bubalis (water buffalo), 1448 nucleotides long. RefSeq lists it as uncharacterized. The record is from RefSeq and is a predicted model, not a curated record. The transcript has 3 exons. Lineage: Eukaryota; Metazoa; Chordata; Mammalia; Artiodactyla; Bovidae.